GCGUUGUCCGGAAUUAUUGGGCGUAAAGAGCUCGUAGGCGGUUUGUCGCGUCUGCUGUGAAAACCGGAGGCUCAACCUCCGGCCUGCAGUGGGUACGGGCAGACUAGAGUGCGGUAGGGGAGAUUGGAAUUCCUGGUGUAGCGGUGGAAUGCGCAGAUAUCAGGAGGAACACCGAUGGCGAAGGCAGAUCUCUGGCCGUAACUGACGCUGAGGAGCGAAAGCAUGGGGAGCGAACAGG
This 238-nucleotide ribosomal RNA is filed under the name uncultured bacterium. RNAcentral describes it as "partial 16S ribosomal RNA". It matches the Rfam family "Bacterial small subunit ribosomal RNA", at positions 538 to 776 of the family's 1533-position model. The record is from RNAcentral.